Molecule: long non-coding RNA, 403 nt
Organism: Telopea speciosissima
Lineage: Eukaryota; Viridiplantae; Streptophyta; Magnoliopsida; Proteales; Proteaceae
Exons: 2
Source: RefSeq, a predicted model, not a curated record
AUUGGCUCUGUUUUCUGGACUGGAGAAGUUGAUGGAGUUGGGUUUCAUGGAAAAGGAAGGCUUUUGAAUUUGAGUGGUAUCCCUACUGCUGUUAGUUUGUAUUCUUUCAGCUAUUGUGCUCAUCCAGUUUUCCCCACCUUAAUACUUCAAUGAAACACCAACAUCAGUUUUCUAAGGUCUUGUUGCUUUGCUUUGUUGUCUGUACUAUGAGUUACGCAUCAAUGGCUAUAUUGGGAUAUCUUAUGUAUGGAUCAAAUGUGUAUUCUCAAGUGACACUGAACCUGCCAACUGGGAAACGUAGCUCGAAGAUAGCAAUAUUCACCACUUUGGUCAAUCCGAUAACAAAGUAUGCAUUGAUGAUUACACCAAUCGUGAGUGCUUUGAGAAUCGGCUUCCAUGUCAU